UCGAGCGGUAAGGCCUUUCGGGGUACACGAGCGGCGAACGGGUGAGUAACACGUGGGUGAUCUGCCCUGCACUCUGGGAUAAGCUUGGGAAACUGGGUCUAAUACCGGAUAUGACCGCAUGCCGCAUGUGUUGUGGUGGAAAGAUUUAUCGGUGCAGGAUGGGCCCGCGGCCUAUCAGCUUGUUGGUGGGGUAAUGGCCUACCAAGGCGACGACGGGUAGCCGACCUGAGAGGGUGACCGGCCACACUGGGACUGAGACACGGCCCAGACUCCUACGGGAGGCAGCAGUGGGGAAUAUUGCACAAUGGGCGGAAGCCUGAUGCAGCGACGCCGCGUGAGGGAUGAAGGCCUUCGGGUUGUAAACCUCUUUCAGCAGGGACGAAGCGUGAGUGACGGUACCUGCAGAAGAAGCACCGGCUAACUACGUGCCAGCAGCCGCGGUAAUACGUAGGGUGCGAGCGUUGUCCGGAAUUACUGGGCGUAAAGAGUUCGUAGGCGGUUUGUCGCGUCGUUUGUGAAAACCCGGGGCUCAACUUCGGGCUUGCAGGCGAUACGGGCAGACUUGAGUGUUUCAGGGGAGACUGGAAUUCCUGGUGUAGCGGUGAAAUGCGCAGAUAUCAGGAGGAACACCGGUGGCGAAGGCGGGUCUCUGGGAAACAACUGACGCUGAGGAACGAAAGCGUGGGUAGCAAACAGGAUUAGAUACCCUGGUAGUCCACGCCGUAAACGGUGGGCGCUAGGUGUGG
This 746-nucleotide ribosomal RNA is filed under the name Rhodococcus sp. G1_17. RNAcentral describes it as "bacterial SSU rRNA". It matches the Rfam family "Bacterial small subunit ribosomal RNA", at positions 62 to 825 of the family's 1533-position model. The record is from RNAcentral. Lineage: Bacteria; Bacillati; Actinomycetota; Actinomycetes; Mycobacteriales; Nocardiaceae.